Molecule: ribosomal RNA, 297 nt
Filed under: uncultured Pseudomonas sp.
Lineage: Bacteria; Pseudomonadati; Pseudomonadota; Gammaproteobacteria; Pseudomonadales; Pseudomonadaceae
Description: partial 16S ribosomal RNA
Rfam family: Bacterial small subunit ribosomal RNA
Source: RNAcentral
GUAACCGAGCGCAACCCUUGUCCUUAGUUACCAGCACGUUAUGGUGGGCACGUCUAAGGAGACUGCCGGUGGACAAACCGGAGGAAGGUGGGGAUGACGUCAAGUCAUCAUGGCCCUUACGGCCUGGGCUACACACGUGCUACAAUGGUCGGUACAAAGGGUUGCCAAGCCGCGAGGUGGAGCUAAUCCCAUAAAACCGAUCGUAGUCCGGAUCGCAGUCUGCAACUCGACUGCGUGAAGUCGGAAUCGCUAGUAAUCGUGAAUCAGAAUGUCACGGUGAAUACGUUCCUGGGCCUU